CGCUCCGGCGUAUUCCAUUACUCGCAUAAUGGAUGCCAGGCGCCGUGGUAGGGGCUUCCAGUUUUUGGUGGAUUGGGCGGGGUACGGUCCGGAAGAGCGUUCCUGGGUGCCGCGGUCUGCGAUCCUCGACCCUGGUAUGGUGUGCGAGUUCCGCCGUCGGCACCCUGACAAGUUUCGUGGGUCGCCCGGGGGCUCCCGUUAGAGGGGGGGUACUGUCGUGGUCGGACGGUCCUUCCCGGAGCGACCUGUGUGUGUGUGUAUGUGUGUGCUUCUCUCUCUCUCCUCCUCCACCCAGUGGCUGACACACCUGCACCUAAUUUGCCAUCCAGCUGUCACUGAUCAUCCUCGUCAUGGACUGAGGUACUUAACUAGGUGUCUGGAUGGCAGUCGACGCUGGAUUGUACUGGAGGCUCGGAGGAAGCAAUACGGAGCAGAAGGUUGGAGAGAAGGAGUCCGCUGGAUUAAGCCCUCGGAGGAGAAACACACUCAGAUAAUCACUUGGGAGACUCACCUGCACACCCCUGGGAGAUUGGAGAGGAUCACCGUGGAUUUUUGUAUUUCGCUUUGUGACUGUUCUGAGCACUGUAAAUAAACGCACUGUUUGCUUCGCAUCCAGAGCUCCGCGACUGAGUCUGUAUUUCCCCCAUUACCCGUGACA
Long non-coding RNA from Haplochromis burtoni (Burton's mouthbrooder), 658 nucleotides. RefSeq lists it as uncharacterized. Lineage: Eukaryota; Metazoa; Chordata; Actinopteri; Cichliformes; Cichlidae. The transcript has 2 exons. The record is from RefSeq and is a predicted model, not a curated record.